Solanum lycopersicum (tomato) is the source of this 815-nucleotide non-coding RNA. Lineage: Eukaryota; Viridiplantae; Streptophyta; Magnoliopsida; Solanales; Solanaceae. The record is from RefSeq and is a predicted model, not a curated record.
ACAUAAUUGCAACUAUUAAACUUUAAUAACCCUACAACUAUAAUCAUUUUUGUAAAUUGCUCGUUCUUUUAUAGUUCACUUUUUUCGGUUACUAACUCAUCGGAGUUCCGUCGGAAUCCGGCGAAUCAACCCCAAAACCCCGAAAUCUCCGUUCAUUUUGCUUCUUUUUCUAGCAAAUCAGUGACUCAUGCAAACACCUGGCCACCCAAACCCCUUUCACCCACUUUUUUAAUCAAAUAACUCAGUCACACCACCGGCCACACCAACAGAACCUCGCCAGAAAUAAUCAAAAUCAGUUCCUAUUCUUCCCAUUUUCAAAUUUAAAUCACCCGAUCCUCCAUUUCUCUGACCAACAACAACGAUCUCCAAACAGUGAGAAAUCUACCUCCAAAACCCUUAUUUUUUUCAUCAUUGUUUUCAACAACAAAUGAAAUUGUGCCGCCAAUCCGUUUUCCCUCUUCCCCUUCACAAUUUUUUUUGUUUCAGGCGUUUUUGCUCAAAAUCGAUGAGCUUCAGUAGUUCAAAGCUCACAACGUUCUGCUUUUAUCUUUUCCGGUGAAAUCCAGUGAACUCCAUGCCGAAAUUCCAACCAGAUUCAACUCUUAAAUCAGCAAGCUUUGAAGCUCAACAACAGAACAACCACCAACAACCAAAUCUAGCCGCAAAAUACAUUAUUCAGGUACCAAAAGGUGCUUCCCAUUGAAGCUAUUCAGAUUAAGUUCGAAUUAUAUGUUUAUUCAUUAUUUUGUAUAUAUCGAUGUUAGGCAAACCUUAUGCGUUUCUUAUAUUAUUUGUUUAAUUUUAUUCUUUGUGUA